Molecule: ribosomal RNA, 111 nt
Filed under: Glycine max (soybean)
Lineage: Eukaryota; Viridiplantae; Streptophyta; Magnoliopsida; Fabales; Fabaceae
Description: 18S rRNA
Rfam family: Eukaryotic small subunit ribosomal RNA
Source: RNAcentral
CUCCUACCGAUUGAAUGGUCCGGUGAAGUGUUCGGAUUGCGGCGACGUGAGCGGUUCGCUGCCCGCGACGUUGUGAGAAGUCCACUGAACCUUAUCAUUUAGAGGAAGGAG